UACGUAGGGGGCUAGCGUUGUCCGGAAUCAUUGGGCGUAAAGCGCGUGUAGGCGGUCCGGUAAGUCCGCUGUGAAAGUCGGGGGCUCAACCCUCGGAUGCCGGUGGAUACUGUCGGGCUUGAGUACGGAAGAGGCGAGUGGAAUUCCUGGUGUAGCGGUGAAAUGCGCAGAUAUCAGGAGGAACACCAAUUGCGAAGGCAGCUCGCUGGGACGGUACUGACGCUGAGACGCGAAAGCGUGGGGAGCGAACAGG
Molecule: ribosomal RNA, 253 nt
Filed under: uncultured bacterium
Lineage: Bacteria
Description: partial 16S ribosomal RNA
Rfam family: Bacterial small subunit ribosomal RNA
Source: RNAcentral